UUACUGCCAGAACUCUGACAUCCUGGUGGGCUCCAGAGCCAUGAGGGACCGGCACCUGCGGCUGCUGGGCUACUGUCUGGUUCAGCUGCCCUACACAGAGCUGGAGAAGGUGAGUGGCAUCGAUGAGGCCAAGCACUACCUGCGG
This is an RNA transcript of Calypte anna (Anna's hummingbird), 145 nucleotides long. RefSeq lists it as uncharacterized. The transcript has 2 exons. The record is from RefSeq and is a predicted model, not a curated record. Lineage: Eukaryota; Metazoa; Chordata; Aves; Apodiformes; Trochilidae.